UGGGGAAUAUUGGGCAAUGGGCGCAAGCCUGACCCAGCAAUGCCGCGUGAAGGAAGAAGGCUUUCGGGUUGUAAACUUCUUUGACAGGGGAAGAGCAGAAGACGGUACCCUGAAAACAAGCCACGGCUAACUACGUGCCAGCAGCCGCGGUAAUACGUAGGUGGCAAGCGUUGUCCGGAUUUACUGGGUGUAAAGGGCGUGUAGCCGGGAAGGCAAGUCAGAUGUGAAAUCUGGAGGCUCAACCUCCAAAUUGCAUUUGAAACUGUUUUUCUUGAGUACUGGAGAGGCAGACGGAAUUCCUUGUGUAGCGGUGAAAUGCGUAGAUAUAAGGAGGAACACCAGUGGCGAAGGCGGUCUGCUGGACAGCAACUGACGGUGAGGCGCGAAAGCGUGGGGAGCAAACAGG
RNAcentral lists this ribosomal RNA (406 nucleotides) under uncultured bacterium. RNAcentral's name for it is "bacterial SSU rRNA". It matches the Rfam family "Bacterial small subunit ribosomal RNA", at positions 355 to 776 of the family's 1533-position model. The record is from RNAcentral. RNAcentral also lists the same sequence under 1 other name.